RNAcentral lists this unclassified non-coding RNA (2858 nucleotides) under Ooceraea biroi (clonal raider ant). Its description in RNAcentral is "major facilitator superfamily domain-containing protein 8, transcript variant X2". The record is from RNAcentral. Lineage: Eukaryota; Metazoa; Arthropoda; Insecta; Hymenoptera; Formicidae.
AUGGAUCGCUGUAAGAAAUUUUUUAUCAGAAGGAGCAGUGUAUCUUCCCUUGAUGGUUUAGAGACUGAACUAGAAAGAAAAGAACGAUGGAGAAGCAUCUACGCAAUUUACUUUACCAUGUUCCUGAUGUCCCUUGGUUUCAGCAUUAUACUUACUGGCGUUUGGCCAUACUUAGACAAGUUGGACCCCACGGCAGGAAAAAUAUUCAUGGGUUACGUGGUGGCGGCCAAUCCAUUGGGACAAAUGUUAUUUUCACCUCUGGUCGGCUGGUGGGGCAAUAAAAGGGGAUCAGUGCGGUUACCACUUUUGAUAACACUGGCUUUAUUCACUCUCGCAUCAGCAGCUUACAGUCUCCUCGAAGUGAUACCUGGUGAUAAAAAGAUUUAUAUGGUCGUUGCUAGAUUCUUCGUUGGAGUUAGUUCUGCUAAUAUUGCAGUAGCGAGAUCUUAUUUAUCUGCAGCUACAAAAUUUUCAGAGCGCACACAAGCUGUUUCUAUGGUCUCUCUUGCACAGGUACUGGGUUUUGUGGUGGGUCCUGGUCUGCAAGCUGCCGUGACACCUCUUGGAGAUCAUGGUGUAACAUUUAUGAUGCUGCCUAUAAACAUGUAUACAGCAGCUGGUUGGAUUAAUGUGAUAAUGGGAGUCAUCAAUUUCAUUUUGUUUUUUCCAUGGAAUUUUAAGGAACAUAAGAUUGCCAUAAAAGAAGCUAUGCGUAACGAGGGUAAAGCUACAGAAGAAGAAACUUGGAAGGCCAUUAAGCCUGAUUAUCUGGCAUCGUGGACAUUAAUUUGUGCAUUUUUCGUUUUGGUGUUUAACUUUGUUCUUCUUGAGACACUUGGCACCUCCCUCACCAUGGAUCAAUUUGCUUGGUCUAAGAAGGAGGCGCUAUAUUAUAUGGGAAUAUUGAUGAGCGUUGGGGCUGUAAUAGCAUGCGUUACAUUCGUCUUGAUCGGACCACUUUGUAAAAGAUUCGAGGAACGUAAAGUAAUGUUAUGGGGUGGAUUCUUUUUGAUGGUGAUUGGAAGAGUGCUAUGUAUCCCAUGGGGUCCUGAUCUUCCUAAAAUUGCAGAUUUUGGACCAUAUAAUAAUAUUACGGAGGACGAUAACGGUACAGAAAUAGUAGGAUGCCCAAUUACUCAGGAAUGGUGCCUGUACACUCCGCAAUUGACGAUUACUCAAUUUUUCAUCGGUUACGGCUUUACCUCCGUCGGUUAUCCUCUAGGAGUUACUCUGAUACAAACGAUAUUUAGCAAAGUCCUCGGGCCACGUCCGCAAGGCGUGUGGAUGGGUUUGAUGACGGGUGCGGGUUGCGCAUCUCGCGUCUUGGGUCCGGUGUUCGUAGGCUUCAUUUAUACUCGCCUAGGAACGUAUCAUACCUUUGGUAUCACCGGGAUAAUGUUGAUCAUUUCCAUGCUUUGGCUGCAAGUCGUGAAUAAGCGUUUGAUCCCACCAGAAGCGAACCAAGAUAGCCACGCGCCGGGUAAGGAAGGCAAAGAUGUCGAAAUCCCGUUAGUUAAUUUAAGGUCUGCAAAUAUUCAGACGUCGCACGAAACGGAAAAGCAUAACGGAGCAUCGGAUUGUGAUAAAGCGUAACAAUAAUUGUUGAUAAAGAAAAUCCUUGCCAGUGCAAUAUGCCAGUGCAACUGCCACAAGACAAACGAAUGCACAAACAUUAGUGCGAUAACGAUACGAAUUAAUCUAUAUUUUUUAUGAAUCUAUACAAAUUACUGUUACAUUCUUUAUACACGUGUAGAUAUUUUAUACAAUAUUAUUAUAUACAAUGUUAUAGGCGUUGUGUUAAAGUAUGAAGUGAAUACCUUACUUAGAAUUGUUAUGAAUAUAACAAUGAGACAAAAAGAGAUUAAUAAUUAUUCUAAACAACGAUUUUAGUGAUACAAUUUAGUGAUACAAUUUGUUCAUUUCAUGAUAUUUUUAUAAAUUCACGUUGCAAGCUCAUAUUAAUAAUUACAGGAUAAUUAGAUAGCUAUUGCGAAACUUAGAUUGCAAAGUAGUAAAGACUCGCCAUAAAUAACGCCAAAGAUGGCAUUUUAAAUUUUUUGUAUUCCUAUUCUUACUGAUACAAAGAUGUUUUAACUCUAAGAUGAAUUUUAAAACAAAUCAUGAUUUUUAUAUAUAAAAAAUUCUAGUAUUAGAAUAGUGUCAUAAUUAAGUAUAAACAAUUUUGUAAUGUACAAAUUCGAGUCUAGUACAGGCCCUAGUAUAUUAUAAAUUACAGGUAAUAUCGUGUACAAACUUGUACAACAUUUUUACGAAGGCCAUAAACGUUAUGCGAUAUUUGUAUUGAAAUUUUAUUAUGGAGGACGCAAAUUUAUUAAUCGAUUCUUCCUUUUUAUCUCGUUAUUAGUGAAAUAACUUGUUCUUGCUCAAACUAGAUGUUGAGAUGUUUACUAGAUUGUAACAAUUGCAUACUUUGGUACUUCUCUACUGAAUAACGAAAUGCAACAUAAAUCAAUGCAAGAAUGUAAAAAGGUGCAGUCUGUUUUUUUACCUCUUCAGGUAGUUUGAAAAGCAAAGACUGACCUCUAAUAAUUUUUACAAUUAAAUAGAAAUUUUAUAGACCAUAUAAAAUUAAUGUAGGAAAUAAAUGAUUAGAGAUAUAUUUUAGUAGCAGAUGUAUUAGAAAAAUUAUGAUAUAUUGAUAGCAAUAAUGUAUAUUAUAAAAAAAAGAUGCAGUUUACAUAUACUGUUCGAAGUGCAAUCAAACUAAAAACAUAAAGCGAUAUUUCAUAUCUACAAAAUGCGAUGUAACACAAAAUAAUAUAUAUACAUAGAUAUAUAUUUUUUAAUACUUAUAUGAAGAAAAAAUGAUAGUUUAAAUGAACUACUUGGCGGCAAAA